Molecule: unclassified non-coding RNA, 461 nt
Filed under: plant metagenome
Description: partial contains internal transcribed spacer 2 and large subunit ribosomal RNA
Rfam family: 5.8S ribosomal RNA (bases 1-105)
Source: RNAcentral
AAACUGCGAUAAUUAAUGUGAAUUGCAGAAUUCUGUGAAUCAUCAAGACCUUGAACGCAAACUGCGCCUACGGGUCCACCUGUAGGCACGCUUGUUUGAGUGUCGAUUCAUUCACUAUCCCUUUAUUAUUCCUAUUUUUUUUUAAGUGGGUAAUAAUAAAGGGGAAUUGGAGGUGUGGUUUUUCCUCUUUUUUUUUAAAAAAAAAGAGGGGGGGACCACUCCUUUUAAGUUCAUCUUCGGACUUUGCUUUUCAAAAAAACGAAUCAGUUUCAGCAAAGAGGUCCAGCCAGUAGGUACCAAUACGUUGGUUUAUCGAAAACUCACAUCUCUCUUGUCUAAAUUUGACAUUCGUUUUUGGAGCAAUAUAAAUCAAGUUCGAAUAAAAGGAAAGAAUCAAAACAACCGAUCAUUUCUUAACAAUUCGACCUCAAAUCAAGUGGGAUUACCCGCUGAAGUUAAGC